This 324-nucleotide ribosomal RNA is filed under the name Ophiocordyceps pseudocommunis. RNAcentral's name for it is "partial large subunit ribosomal RNA". It matches the Rfam family "Eukaryotic large subunit ribosomal RNA", at positions 114 to 439 of the family's 3401-position model. The record is from RNAcentral. Lineage: Eukaryota; Fungi; Ascomycota; Sordariomycetes; Hypocreales; Ophiocordycipitaceae.
UUUGAAAUCCGGCCCACCGCGGCCCGAGUUGUAAUCUGCAGGGGAUGCUUCUGGCGACGCGCCUUCCGAGUUCCCUGGAACGGGACGCCAUAGAGGGUGAGAGCCCCGUCCGGUCGGACGCCAAGCCUCUGUGAAGCUCCUCCGACGAGUCGAGUAGUUUGGGAAUGCUGCUCAAAGCGGGAGGUGUAUGUCUUCUAAAGCUAAAUACCGGCCAGAGACCGAUAGCGCACAAGUAGAGUGAUCGAAAGAUGAAAAGCACUUUGGAAAGAGGGUUAAACAGUACGUGAAAUUGUUGAAAGGGAAGCGCUCGUGACCAGACUCGGG